GAUCUACCUAGUAGUACGGAAUAAUUGUUGGAAACGGCAACUAAUACCGUAUACGCCCUACGGGGGAAAAAUUUAUUGCUAUUAGAUGAGCCUAUAUUAGAUUAGCUAGUUGGUGGAGUAAUAGCCUACCAAGGCAAUGAUCUAUAGCUGAUCUGAGAGGAUGAUCAGCCACACUGGAACUGAGAUACGGUCCAGACUCCUACGGGAGGCAGCAGUGGGGAAUAUUGGACAAUGGGCGAAAGCCUGAUCCAGCCAUGCCGCAUGAGUGAAGAAGGCCUUUGGGUUGUAAAGCUCUUUUAGUGAGGAAGAUAAUGACGGUACUCACAGAAGAAGUCCUGGCUAACUCCGUGCCAGCAGCCGCGGUAAUACGGAGAGGGCUAGCGUUAUUCGGAAUUAUUGGGCGUAAAGGGCGCGUAGGCUGGUUAAUAAGUUAAAAGUGAAAUCCCGAGGCUUAACCUUGGAAUUGCUUUUAAAACUAUUAAUCUAGAGAUUGAAAGAGGAUAGAGGAAUUCCUGAUGUAGAGGUAAAAUUCGUAAAUAUUAGGAGGAACACCAGUGGCGAAGGCGUCUAUCUGGUUCAAAUCUGACGCUGAAGCGCGAAGGCGUGGGGAGCAAACAGGAUUAGAUACCCUGGUAGUCCACGCUGUAAACGAUGAAUGUUAAAUAUGGGAAGUUUACUUUCUGUAUUACAGCUAACGCGUUAAACAUUCCGCCUGGGGACUACGGUCGCAAGAUUAAAACUCAAAGGAAUUGACGGGGACCCGCACAAGCGGUGGAGCAUGUGGUUUAAUUCGAUGCAACGCGAAAAACCUUACCACUUCUUGACAUGA
Molecule: ribosomal RNA, 829 nt
Filed under: Wolbachia endosymbiont of Bactrocera dorsalis
Lineage: Bacteria; Pseudomonadati; Pseudomonadota; Alphaproteobacteria; Rickettsiales; Anaplasmataceae
Description: bacterial SSU rRNA
Rfam family: Bacterial small subunit ribosomal RNA
Source: RNAcentral